GAUGGCGUGUGUAUGAGUGAUUGAGUGUCCAACAUGCAUCCUGCCACUGAGGUGCAUUUUUGGACAGACUGAACACCUCUGGACGACUACUGUUUCAGACUGAUAGCAGCACCGCAGACCCUCAUCAUCAGACAGACACAGGGAAAGGACACUGAUCCAAUCUUGGCAAAAAUGAGCUUGGCUCGGAUCCAUGAUAAACACAAGCUAAAGAAAUACUGGGAGGAGAAAAUCGAACGUCACAGCGAUAUAAUGGGGAGUGAGGAAUCCAGAAUGAAGAGCAGUGCCUUAUCAAAGCUGCGGGACGAGUGGCUCAGGAGGCUGAAGCUUCGGAACCAGCAGCUGGAGCAUUUCGAAGAGAAACACAUCAGGAGGGCCAAGAUGUCCCAACAGGCCUUCAAGAUACCCAGUCAAUGACUACUCGAAUCUACAUUCUAGAAUCUACAUCAUUCUAAGCCAUCUGACUGAGGUCAUGACAUGUAGAUUAGCCUGGCUGCCAUCUCUUGUUCAGAUACUACAUUCCACUCAUUGCAACUCCUGUCAUUUGCCAAAGACAAUCUUUGGCAAAUGACGGGAGUGACAAGGAGUGGAUUAUUAGCUAAAAAAAAGACUGGUACUCAGACUAAUGAUGUAGGGUUAACUAGGACUAGCUUCUCCAUUUCAGAUGAUGACAUUACGACUAUAGAUUGAGGGGAAAUACUGUAACUGAAGUGAAGUUUACUUCUUGCGAGGGAGACGGUAUGGCAGAAAGUCAAAUGGAUGGGAUGUCGCCGAAUGAUUAGUUGCAGAGCCAUGCUGUACAGACUUUGUCAUUAACACUCGUGUCGUAGUUUUGAGGCGACCAUCUGUUGUGCAGUUAAAUAAGUGCAGGGGAGUAUGUGAAGACUUGACUGUACAUCAGAGUGACAGUCGUGGUGACUGGUGGGGUAAUUAUUUGAUUUUUGUGUCGGAGGAAUAUACAACGUGAUCGGGAGGAAACAUGAUGAAGAUUGACAGAAUAUGGUAUGGUUUUUUUUUUUCAAGAAAGAAAAGUAUGGAAAGUUCAGAGAAACCAUAGAAAUGUGUUAAUGUCCCAAUUUCCGGGCUUAAAUAUAGAUAGAAUUUCAUCAUGUUUAACAUAAUUUAUCUGCAACAUUAAAAGAGAGGGGAAAGCAUCUCUUCUGAGGCAUGUGAAAUGUAAAGAACUCAGAACUCAUUUGAGUUUUUUUUUAAAUGCAUGUGGACAGUUUCAGAGGUUUCUGAGAGAUGUGUUCCGGCCAGGUUACACUGCAGGCGUAGUUCCUUUAUCUGAGGGGAGAAGUUGGUCUUUCAGUCAUCAGUUUAACAAAACAUUAGCAUUGUGCUUUGAAUUGACACUAUGUCGAUGUGUUUUAGGGUGUCUGCUUAUGUCUUGGUGUUAAGACGAGCUGUGAAAGGGAGUGCUGUUAGCUUCAUCUUCUUUUCAGUUUGAUGUGAUGAACAAAGAAAUGUCCAAAAAAAAACAUCCUACAGCAUCACCAUGAUCCUACAUCCUACCGCAUCGCCAUGAUCCUACAUCCUACAGCAUCACCAUGAUCCUACAUCCUACAGCAUCACCAUGAUCCUACAUCCCACAGCAUCACCAUGAUCCUACAUCCCUCAGCAUCACCAUGAUCCUACAUCCUACAGCAUCACCAUGAUCCUACAUCCUACAGCAUCACCAUGAUCCUACAUCCUACAGCAUCACCAUGAUCCUACAUCCCUCAGCAUCACCAUGAUCCUACAUCCUACAGCAUCACCAUGAUCCUACAUCCUACAGCAUCACCAUGACCAUAUUUGAGAAGUGUACAAUCAUACAUUAUCAAUGGCCAAGGAGACAGCUUCUGAUCAAAAUAGAAAUGAUUGGACCGAAAGUACAAGAUUGGGAGAUGGUACAGUAUAACAUUACGGAGUAUGGCAUUACAGAGUCAUUUACUCCUGAGGUGCUGACCUGUUGCACCCUCUAUAACGACAGUGAUUAUUAUUUGACCCUGCUGGUCAUCUACAGUGCCUUGAGAAAGCAUUAAUGCCCCUUGACUUAUUCUAUGUUCUGUUGUGUUACAGCCAGAAUUCAAAAUGGAUUCAAUUAAUUUCUCUCUCUCUCUCUCUCUCACCCAUCUACACACAAUACCCCAUAUUGACAAAGUGAAUGCAUGUUUUUAGACAUUUUAGCUAAUUUAUUGAUAAUGAAAUACAGAAGUAUCUCCUUUACAUAAGUAUUCCCGCCCCUGAGUCAAAACUUUGUAGAAGCACCUUUGGCAGCGAUUACAUCUGUGAGUCUUUCUGGGUAAGUCUCCAAGAUUUUUCCAUACCUGGAUUGUGCCCAUUAUUCUUCUCAGAAUUCAUGUUUUGCAAUAUGUUUAUUCUGUAAAGGCUUCCUUUUUUUCCCACUGUUAUGCAGGUUAGUAUUGUGGAGUAGCAACAAUGUUGUCGAUCCUUCCUCAGUUUUCUCCUAUCACAGCCAUUAAACUUUUAAAGUCGCCAUUGGCCACAUGGUGAAGUUCCCUGAGCGAUUUCCUUCCUCUCCGGUAACUGAGUUAGGAAGGACGCCUGUAACUUUGUAGUGAUUGGAUGUAUUGAUACUUCAUUCGAAGUGUAAUUAAUAACUUCACCAUGCUCCAAGGGAUAUGCAAUAUCUGAUUUUCUACCAAUAGGUUCCCUUCUUUGCGAGGCAUUUGGAAAAACUCCCUGGUCUUUGUGGUUGAAUCUGUGUUUGAAAUUCACUGCUCGACUGAGGGACCUUACAGAUUAUUGUAUAUGUGGAGUACAGAGAUGAGGUAGUCAUUCAAAAAUCAUGUUAAACACUAUUGCACACACAGUGAGUCCAUGCAACUUACUAUGUGACUUUUAAGCACAUUUUUACUCCUGAACUUAUUUAGGCUUUCCAAAACAUAGGGGUUGAAUACUUAUUGACAAGACAUUUCAGUUCUUGUUUUUGUUCUUUCAUUUGUAAAAGUUGCAAAAAACAUAUUCCACUUUACCAUGAUGUGUUAUUGUGUGUAGGCCAGUGACAAACAAUAUCAAGUUAAUCCAUUUUGAAUUCAGGCUGUAACACAACAACAUGUGGAACAAUUCAAGAUGUGUGAAUACUUUCUGAAGGCACUGUAAGUGUAACAGAGAUAAGAGUUUUAGGACACAAACAGCUUAAAACUAAAAGCAAUGCAGGCAACAUUCCAAGCAUGGACUGAACGUCCAACCGUCCUUUG
Long non-coding RNA from Oncorhynchus nerka (sockeye salmon), 3200 nucleotides. RefSeq lists it as uncharacterized. The transcript is spliced from 3 exons. Lineage: Eukaryota; Metazoa; Chordata; Actinopteri; Salmoniformes; Salmonidae. The record is from RefSeq and is a predicted model, not a curated record.